GACGAACGCUGGCGGCGUGCCUAAUACAUGCAAGUCGAGCGCAGGAAACUGACGGAACUCUUCGGAGGGAAGGCAGUGGAAUGAGCGGCGGACGGGUGAGUAACACGUAAGGAACCUGCCUCAAGGAUUGGGAUAACUCCGAGAAAUCGGAGCUAAUACCGGAUAGUUCAACGGACCGCAUGGUCCGCUGAUGAAAGGCGCUUCGGCGUCACCUUGAGAUGGCCUUGCGGUGCAUUAGCUAGGUGGUGGGGUAACGGCCCACCAAGGCGACGAUGCAUCGCCGCCCUGAGAGGGUGAUCGGCCACACUGGGACUGAGACACGGCCCAGACUCCUACGGGAGGCAGCAGUAGGGAAUCUUCCACAAUGGACGAAAGUCUGAUGGAGCAACGCCGCGUGAGUGAUGAAGGUUUUCGGAUCGUAAAACUCUGUUGUAAGGGAAGAACACGUACGAGAGGGAAUGCUCGUACCUUGACGGUACCUUACGAGAAAGCCACGGCUAACUACGUGCCAGCCGCCGCCGUAA
This 524-nucleotide ribosomal RNA is filed under the name uncultured bacterium. Its description in RNAcentral is "partial 16S ribosomal RNA". It matches the Rfam family "Bacterial small subunit ribosomal RNA", at positions 28 to 523 of the family's 1533-position model. The record is from RNAcentral.